CCUACGGGAGGCAGCAGUGAGGAAUAUUGGUCAAUGGACGAGAGUCUGAACCAGCCAAGUAGCGUGAAGGAUGACUGCCCUAUGGGUUGUAAACUUCUUUUGUCAGGGAACAAAGUCGGAGACGCGUCACCGGAUGAGUGUACCCGAAGAAAAAGCAUCGGCUAACUCCGUGCCAGCAGCCGCGGUAAUACGGAGGAUGCGAGCGUUAUCCGGAUUUAUUGGGUUUAAAGGGUGCGCGGGCGGGAUGUUAAGUCAGCGGUCAAAUGUUGGGGCUCAACCCCGGCCGGCCGUUGAAACUGGUUUUCUAGAGUUGGAGAGAAGUAGGCGGAAUUCGUGGUGUAGCGGUGAAAUGCAUAGAUAUCACGAAGAACUCCGAUUGCGAAGGCAGCAUACCGGCUCCAUACUGACGCUGAGGCACGAAAGCGUGGGGAUCGAACAGGAUUAGAUACCCUUGUAGUC
This 459-nucleotide ribosomal RNA is filed under the name uncultured bacterium. Its description in RNAcentral is "partial 16S ribosomal RNA". It matches the Rfam family "Bacterial small subunit ribosomal RNA", at positions 338 to 795 of the family's 1533-position model. The record is from RNAcentral.